This 1241-nucleotide ribosomal RNA is filed under the name metagenome. Its description in RNAcentral is "bacterial LSU rRNA". It matches the Rfam family "Bacterial large subunit ribosomal RNA", at positions 1167 to 2406 of the family's 2925-position model. The record is from RNAcentral.
CCUAUGUAACGGGGCUAAGCCAGUUACCGAAGCUGCGGAUGUGCAAUUUAUUGCAUGUGGUAGGAGAGCGUUCUGUAAGCCUGUGAAGGUGGCUUGUGAAGGCUGCUGGAGGUAUCAGAAGUGCGAAUGCUGACAUGAGUAGCGUUAAAGGGGGUGAAAAGCCCCCUCGCCGAAAGCGCAAGGUUUCCUACGCAACGUUCAUCGGCGUAGGGUGAGUCGGCCCCUAAGGCGAGGCAGAGAUGCGUAGCUGAUGGGAAACAGGUCAAUAUUCCUGUACCGAUUGCAAGUGCGAUGUGGGGACGGAGAAGGUUAGCUCAGCCAACUGUUGGAUAUGUUGGUUCAAGCGUGUAGUCGUGUCUCUUAGGCAAAUCCGGGAGAAUUAGAUGAGGCGUGAUAACGAGUCUGCUUGCAGACGAAGUGAGUGAUACCCUGCUUCCAAGAAAAGCCACUAAGCUUCAGCUUGUAAUUGACCGUACCGCAAACCGACACUGGUGCGCGAGAUGAGUAUUCUAAGGCGCUUGAGAGAACUCUGGAGAAGGAACUCGGCAAAUUGACACCGUAACUUCGGAAGAAGGUGUGCCUUUAGUAGGUGAACCAUUUACUUGGGGAGCCCAAUGAGGCCGCAGAGAAUCGGUGGCUGCAACUGUUUAUUAAAAACACAGCACUCUGCAAAGACGAAAGUCGACGUAUAGGGUGUGACUCCUGCCCGGUGCUGGAAGAUUAAAUGAUGGGGUGCAAGCUCUUGACUGAAGUCCCAGUAAACGGCGGCCGUAACUAUAACGGUCCUAAGGUAGCGAAAUUCCUUGUCGGGUAAGUUCCGACCUGCACGAAUGGAGUAAUGAUGGCCACACUGUCUCCUCCAGAGACUCAGCGAAGUUGAAAUGUUUGUGAUGAUGCAAUCUCCCCGCGGAAAGACGGAAAGACCCCAUGAACCUUUACUGUAGCUUUACAUUGGACUUUGAACAGAUCUGUGUAGGAUAGGUGGGAGGCUUUGAAGAGUGGACGCUAGUUUGCUUGGAGCCAACGUUGAAAUACCACCCUGGUGUGUUUGAGGUUCUAACCUUGGUCCCUUAUCGGGAUUGGGGACAGUGUAUGGUGGGCAGUUUGACUGGGGCGGUCUCCUCCCAAAGUGUAACGGAGGAGUUCGAAGGUACGCUAAAUACGGUCGGAAAUCGUGUUGAUAGUGCAUUGGCAUAAGCGUGCUUGACUGCGAGACUGACAAGUCGAGCAGGUACGAAAGC